CCUACGUGAGACAGCAGUGAGGAAUAUUGGUCAAUGGGCUUACGCCUGAACCAGCCAAGUCGCGUGAGGGAAGACUGCCCUAUGGGUUGUCAACCUCUUUUGUCAGGGAGCAACGCCGGCUACGUGUAGCCGGACUGAGAGUACCUGAAGAAAAAGCAUCGGCUACGUCCGUGCCAGCAGCCGCGGUAAUACGGUGGAUGCGAGCGUUAUCCGGAGUUAUUGGGUUAACAGGGUGCGUAGGCGGAAUGACAAGUCAGCGGUAAAAGCGCGGAGUUCAACCUCGCUCCGCCGUUGAAACUGGCGUUCUUGAGUGGGCGAGAAGUAUGCGGAAUGCGUGGUGUAGCGGUGAAAUGCAUAGAUAUCACGCAGAACUCCGAUUGCGAAGGCAGAAUACCGGCGCACAACUGACGCUGAAGCACGAAAGCGUGGGUAUCGAACAGGAUUAGAUACCCGAGUAGUC
RNAcentral lists this ribosomal RNA (460 nucleotides) under uncultured bacterium. RNAcentral's name for it is "partial 16S ribosomal RNA". It matches the Rfam family "Bacterial small subunit ribosomal RNA", at positions 338 to 795 of the family's 1533-position model. The record is from RNAcentral.